RNAcentral lists this ribosomal RNA (438 nucleotides) under uncultured bacterium. RNAcentral's name for it is "partial 16S ribosomal RNA". It matches the Rfam family "Bacterial small subunit ribosomal RNA", at positions 339 to 795 of the family's 1533-position model. The record is from RNAcentral.
CUACGGGGUGCACCAGUGAGGAAUAUUGCACAAUGGGGGGAACCCUGAUGCAGCAACGCCGCGUGGAGGAUGACGCAUUUCGGUGUGUAAACUCCUUUUAUAUGUCAAGAAAAUGACGGUAGCAUAUGAAUAAGCACCGGCUAACUCCGUGCCAGCAGCCGCGGUAAUACGGGGGGUGCAAGCGUUACUCGGAAUCACUGGGCGUAAAGGACGCGUAGGCGGGUUGGAAAGUCAGUGUGAAAUCCUACAGCUUAACUGUAGAACUGCACUUGAAACUUCUAAUCUAGAGUAUGGGAGGGGGAGAUGGAAUUAGUGGUGUAGGGGUAAAAUCCGUAGAUAUCACUAGGAAUACCUAAAGCGAAGGCGAUCUCCUGGAACAUUACUGACGCUAAGGCGUGAAAGCGUGGGGAGCAAACAGGAUUAGAUACCCUCGUAGUC